GUACUGUAUCGGGUUUUGUUUAUCGGAAGAGUCGCAAUUUCCUGCCUGCUGUAUACUCACUACUUGAUAAGGUCUUGAGCAUAAAGCUCUGUUCCUGUACCUAGGUAAAAACUAAUUUUUGCUUCCAGUAUUAGGGUUAUGAAUCACUGUAGCAUCUAACCACAAAUGCCACUGAGAACAUGCACAGGCAUAUUAUAUACUACUGUGACUGACUGUAAAGUGUACGGCACAUAAUAUUUAUAAUUGAUAAAUAUUUCACACACACACACACACACACACACACACACACACACACAACCACUUUAUUAGUCUACAAUGAAAAUUUUUUUGUCCGAAAAUGCACUCGAUAUUAUCAACUUUGUAAAUAGAAUCACUUCACUCCUUAGUUCAUACUGAUCGUUUUUUACCUUUUUUGUUUGAAGACUAGUGGCAUGCUGAAAAACGUUUAAUUUGGGUUUCUAUAAUCUCAGGGAAAUUACUCUCCCCUCGCCUCGUGAGAAAAUUCAGAAUACUUUCAAUAUCAUGGGUAUUGCUUUGGCAAUAUAAGAAAAAAAUGUAGUAAAGCAAAAUGUGGAACAGUUACAAAUUGGGGAUUGAUGAUCAUUACUAUGAAAUGAAAGCAGAAAUGCCAAAUUAAACAAUUACUAUUUAACGAAAGAAGCUUUUUAUACAGACAUCUAACAUCUCGUGUAUUAACUUUUUAAUUUUGGACAUAAGGAAUUUUUGCAGUAUUCGGCGAAAUACGUAGAAAUUACAAUAAUCUUAACCCGACUCUUUAGUGAAAGAAAAAAGUAUUCACAGUAAAGUCAUAUCAGUAAUUGCAAUUGGCGAUAAUAAUGGCACAAUUAAACAAAUUCCUGACAGGAAUACAAUUUCAGUUCAUUUGAACAAAAUGGAAGAAAAUAGGAGUCUGAUAGCGUAAGGUGCUGUCGGAAAGGCGCGCGACUAGAGGAGGAGAGAGAGAAGACGAGCGUGCAUUCUUAUAUGGAACAAAAUAUAGAUGAUGUUACGCCGCUCUCAUUAUCCUGGGAGUACAUAUUCGCCGACUUGCAGCGCAGUUCAUUGACUCAGUGGUUAAAUUAUAUCUUUAACUCUUGAUAUUUCGAUAGGAAAGGUAAAUGGUAUGUUUAUUAAGUCGCAGGCAGGGCACAAUAUUACAAGUAGCUGUUCAGGAUCUGAUUUUCCAGUUUUCGUUCGCGUUUCUGUGUUAUAUUGGGCUCUACGUUGGUAAUUACAAUGAAUCAGUUCUAACAGUGUUUCACAACUAGAGACCAUCAUCUCUUGAUGUUCCUUGUUCAAUGAACAACAGACAAACGUGAAGAGGAACGUCUUUCCACUUGUCAAUACUGCAACUGUGGCCUAGUUAAGCAAUUGAUUUCAAAAUUAUCAACUAAUGUAACGGCUGAUAUUCACGUAUAAUAAGAAGAGUUGUUUGUGUGGAACAUGUACAUAGAAGAUUCACCUGGAAAUCUGUGCUGCACUGGGUUUAAAUGUUAAAUCGCACACAUCGAGAGAACCAGUCAAAGAACUGGUCCAUGCAUUACAGGAAUACUAUUACCAAUCAGGCCUCAGAGAUGAGUGGAAGUUCUGAGUUAAUGACGUAGAGAACUCACACCACUUGCAAGGACGACCCGCUCGUGUUCCAGUAUGAGCGAUAAAACACAGAAACGCAGAAGUAUUUGUUUCUUAAGCAUUUUUUAUUGCAGUAUAAACUGCCUAUCUACAAAGUGAUAGCGUGAAAAAACGAACAGUUGAAGCAAUGCUUAUUUAAUUUCUUGUUGAUGAUACCAGCACCUCACAGCACAACAACAGCGUGAAGGAGAUUACACUUUUUGCUGAACAGAUAUUGUAAUUAUGAGUUGAUCUUUGAUAGUUUCUUUUUAGAUUCGUGACAUAUUUUUGGGCAUGGUGGGUGGCAGGGAUCUGUGACCAUAGUGUGCUGCAGUUGUGCACAUUACCAAUUGUUUUAUAACUUCUCCAUCGUAUGUAAGAAAAAUGUAUCCAACGGAGAACUCUGGCUAUGAUACAAGGCAAUAAUGCAGCCAUUAACUGGACUCAUCUGGGCAUCCUCAAAGAAAACAAAACUGAAAAUACGUUCAGUAUUAGUGUGUAAAAGUUAAGUAAUGCAAACACCAGGAUUUAAAAAAGGAAGCUAUUUGAUGGACCUCAGCAACUGCACUCGCAAUGCAUGGGUUAAUGCUGCAAGAUGAUUCUGGGAGUACCACAUGUUUUUGGCACUGAAAAUGAUACAUUUUUGUUUUUGAGGUCCUUGCAUGUAAUCGUUACAGCCUGGUGUGCGCAUGUAUGUACCAGUUCACAGCAGUCAUUAUUGAUUCAAGAACAGGUAAUAUGUUGGAAGUUCAUUUGCUUAAUAGCCAAGUACAGUGUGUGGUGCUCUUAUGACUGAAUCAAACAUUUGGGGAGGGCAGUGACUUUUGAUUGAAACAAAAUAAUUACAAUAAGUGAAGAUAUUCCCUUUUCGUUAUAGGAACUGUAAUUCGGAAUUUCUUGAUCCAGAAUUAGAGCUUGCAAUGAACAAAUUAUAUCGUGAAAGCUAUCCUGUAAUCAUAAUCUCAGAUGCUGUAAUUGUAAGAGAUCAGAUGGAAAACAGUAGCGUGUAUAUUGGUUGAGUCGCUGGCACUUUCUCUGUUAGUGGCUCAACAUUCCGUCUUAAACAUUGGUGGAUGUUGCCCUGUUGGAAUGUCAGGAGUGCUCAGGAGAACUUGCGGUCUGACUGUGGCAUCUUCCCCCAGCUAACGUUUCACAGUGAGGCAGCUCGGACUUUACUAACAGAUUGUCAGCUGACUGUGUGAGUCAACUCCUGUAAGUCAACCUAGAGGACUAGUUGUUAACUUGUUGUUUUCAAAAUCAGAACAGAAAACUGUUUACCAAAGUGGAACAAUAGUUGCUUCUCGCCCACUAGUUUUUGUUUUGUUGUGCUAGGUCUCAAUUUUAAAUGACAUACCGAUCAAGGAACAUUGCACAGACGAGUGAAAUUGAGGAACUGAUGUUUUCACACAUUUUAGGGCUUGUUGUGUAGAUGGAACAUAAAGGAUAUUCUUUAAAAUUUUAUUGUUGUGAAUUUGCUGCUCUUCGCUGGUGACAUCAAUUUGAUACAGGGAAUAUACCAAGGUGGUGCAGUGAACAGCAUUAGUGAAGUGCCCAUAGUGUUCGCAGAUUCUGAGAAAGGGCAGCGGGCUACUCAGUGAUCCCAUGUUUCAGAAUCACCUGCAGUGGAACCAGUUCAGGAGAGCGCAGCCGUGGACGUGGGCACCCACCAAGUGAUGGCCUUACAGGACUGGUCUGACGCAGUGUGUGUUGAAGAGCUGAAAGCUUACUGAGCCAUCAGCAGAAACCAGGAGACUUUCUGGUGAGGAGAGAGGCAGGAGGCUUGUCUAGGCAGCUGAAGACGGGGCAGUGCAGGAGCUGUGGACACUGCUGACAGCUGGAGCAGGUCUGUGGGCGAGGGGUGUGGACGAGAUGACCAACCUGCACCGUGCAGCAGCCGACGGAGGCGGCGAAGCUGAAAGGUGUCCGGUGGGGGGUGGACGCCAGGGACUUCUGCACUGGGCCGAAGCGAAUGGAUACACAGCUGCGGAGCAGCAGCUGGUGCCGCCCUUUGCCGACACCGACGCCAGUCGUGUGGUCGGGUGGACGCCGUUGCGUUAUGCGUUAUGCGGUGUGGUAUGGACAUACAGGGGUGGCAACAGCGCUUCUCGUGGCAGGGGCUGUUGGGGAGACGAGGGAUGACUAGAGGAGGAACACCGCACUGGACCUACCUGGGCAGUGCUGCAAACAGCAGCAUAUAGACAUACUGUCACUGAGCUAAUUGAUCGACAAAGCUAUGUGCAAUAAAAAUGAAAUAAUUUAACUGUGUCUACUUGUUAAUUUAAAUAAGGAAUGCAUUAAAUACACCUACAGUCAC
Molecule: long non-coding RNA, 3925 nt
Organism: Schistocerca serialis cubense
Lineage: Eukaryota; Metazoa; Arthropoda; Insecta; Orthoptera; Acrididae
Exons: 2
Source: RefSeq, a predicted model, not a curated record